Molecule: ribosomal RNA, 408 nt
Filed under: uncultured bacterium
Lineage: Bacteria
Description: partial 16S ribosomal RNA
Rfam family: Bacterial small subunit ribosomal RNA
Source: RNAcentral
AGUGAACGCUGGCGGCGUGCCUAAUACAUGCAAGUCGAACGGAGUGGCGCACGGGUGAGUAAUAUAUAGCUAAUCUGCCCCUUGCUGGAGGACAACAGUUAGAAAUGACUGCUAAUACUCCAUAGCAAGGGAUGAGACUAUAUCGUAUCAGCUAGUCGGUGGGGUAACGGCCUACGGAGGCUAUGACGCGCAACUGGUCUGCGAGGAUGAUCAGUCACAUUGGAAGGGAGACACGGGCCAGAAACCUACGGGAGGGAGCAGUAGGGAAUAUUGCGCAAUGGGGGAAACCCAGACGGGUCAACGCCGCGUGGAGGAUGACACUUUGCGAAGCAUAAACUCCUUUUGAUAGGGAAGCGGUACCUAACGAAUAAGCACCGGCUAACUCCGUGCCAGCAGCCGCGGUAAUUC